AUUCGAUCGGGUUGUGCGACAUCUUCUGGAGACUUGAGAUCAUGGACUUCUUCGUGGUUGCCGAUUGAAGUCUCAGAUUGGAGUAUACUGGAAUCUAGCAGAGAUAUGCUUGCUCUGUGGUGAUUCUAUGGUUCAGCAAAUUUCCUUGUUGCCAGCAGCAAGUUUGAUCCGAACAGAGGAGUUGAUUCCAGUAGGUUGUUCUGUUCUGUGGUGUGUUCCUGUUUCGGCAGCAACCCCAUUCCAAAAGCUCGAUCGAGGACUCUGAUUCGAGACGGGCGUCUCGACCUUGGAUCGCUUGGUUGUACCUUUUAUUUGAGG
Long non-coding RNA from Zingiber officinale, 318 nucleotides. RefSeq lists it as uncharacterized. The transcript is spliced from 4 exons. The record is from RefSeq and is a predicted model, not a curated record. Lineage: Eukaryota; Viridiplantae; Streptophyta; Magnoliopsida; Zingiberales; Zingiberaceae.